AAUGAACGCUGGCGGCGCGCCUAAUACAUGCAAGUCGAGCGAGAAGACGUAGCAAUACGUUCGUAAAGCGGCGAACGGGUGAGGAAUACAUGGGUAACCUACCCUAGAGUGGGGAAUAACUAGCCGAAAGGUUAGCUAAUACCGCGUACGCUCCUUGGACUUCGGUUCAGGGAGGAAAGCGAUGCCGAGGGUAUCGCGCUCUUGGAUGGGCUCAUGUCCUAUCAGCUGUUGGUGAGGUAACGGCUCACCAAGGCUUCGACGGGUAGCUGGUCUGAGAGGACGAUCAGCCACACUGGCACUGCGACACGGGCCAGACUCCUACGGGAGGCAGC
This 332-nucleotide ribosomal RNA is filed under the name uncultured bacterium. RNAcentral's name for it is "bacterial SSU rRNA". It matches the Rfam family "Bacterial small subunit ribosomal RNA", at positions 29 to 352 of the family's 1533-position model. The record is from RNAcentral.